UUAUAGUCAUUCGACUUUGGAUUUCAGACAGCUUUUUUCAAAAAAGGGUUUUUGAGGGUGCCGUCGGCGGACUGACCCUCCCCCGCAAUGGGAGGAAGAGCCGCCGAAGCAACAGGGGGUUUUCACAAAGGGUAGUCCUUUGGCGCGCGGGGGUUUAGGCCUCGCGCCGCGGGGCGGCCUUGCGGCCGGUUUUAUUGUAAUGAUCCUUCCGCAGGUUCACCUACGGAAA
This 229-nucleotide unclassified non-coding RNA is filed under the name uncultured fungus. RNAcentral describes it as "sequence contains ITS1". Lineage: Eukaryota; Fungi. The record is from RNAcentral.